This is a long non-coding RNA of Brassica oleracea var. oleracea, 1851 nucleotides long. RefSeq lists it as uncharacterized. Lineage: Eukaryota; Viridiplantae; Streptophyta; Magnoliopsida; Brassicales; Brassicaceae. The transcript is spliced from 8 exons. The record is from RefSeq and is a predicted model, not a curated record.
CCAUCUUCUCUACGACAUUCUACGCCUCUCAGCCGCAAGCUCUCUGCAACCUAAGCACACUGACUUGAAUACCGUAACGUCUUCAGCCUCAUUGAUAUCUUCUUUAUUCCUCGCUUUUACUUGCUUAACCCACCACUCCUACUCUUGAGCAUUCAAUCACCCUCAUCGCAUUCCAGAGAAACCGACUGGAUCGACGAGUAUAAAUACUACAACUCUCAACCAUGAAAAGCGCAACUACAACAACUUUACAAGGAUAGUCUGUCCAGCUAACCCAUUACGAUGAUGUCAACACCUGUGCAAGGAUCCGUGAGUGCAAACCGUCUUCUCAGAUUCAGACAGCGUUUCAGCGAACUCUGUGUACACGUUAAGCGGUUUUGAUGUAAAGCCCAGUAACAACAAUUUCCGGUUAUCUCAUGCCCCCUCUCCAUACGGUUCAAUGAUGGACCCUCUUUUGAAAAGCUCAUAGACUCCGAUAAAGUCAUACCCACUGAACUUUUCCGGUUCCGACCAUACGACGAGUUACGUGCACUGGCAAACACCAACAAACAACUUCCUGAUAUUAUUGGCGAGCUAAAUGCAAUAAGGAGCACCAUCAACGACCGUCUUCCUGGUGCAAAAUGCAUAAUGCUUACUUUGCGUCUUGAUAGUGCUGUUAACGUCUGUGUUAGUAUGUUUGACUCUUUGGCUAUUGCAUUCCACGACAAAUUUGAGAGCUAUGGGUCAGAGCCAAAAUUGUGCUUGUCACGAGCAUAAAUACAAAGAUUGUUGGGGACCGCAGCAGGAAAAGAAGUGUUUGACAGGCAUGUCAACUCAUUCUAAUUAUAGCAACGCAACUUUUUCUAACUUCCAAAUAUUGUAAACAUGUUUCCUAUCUGUUUUACUGUUUUUCCAUGUUCAUCCUCCUUCAUUGCCAGGUCAGGGAGCAGACCAGCAAGUGUCUUCAUCCAAGAUGGUUCAUGCACAGAAGAUUGAGCCACUUACCAUUUCUGAGCUUAGCCAAUUUAUUAACACUGCUGAUUCUCAGGUGUAGUGUGGUCUAUUUAAAUUUAAUACACUUUGAGCUUAAUCAUCUGAGUACGAAGUAUUGGAAUUUGUCCAACUUCUUCUACACUUGACGGAUUAUCGAUUUCCUCUGCACUGCUAAAGUGACCGGGAUCCAGCAAGAUGACGGUUGGUGUUAUAUUGGUUGCUCCGGAUAUUCAAAGAAACUUGUCCGAGAGACUCUUCCUUCACAUGUGUUUCAUGUAAUGAAUCCAAUGCUGAGGCCGCACUCAGGUACCGAGUGACACUGUCUGUGUCAGACGACACUGAUACAACAUCUUUCCUUGCUUUUGAUAUGGAGAUGGCUAAACUGACAAACAUCCAAGCUUCUGAGGCUGCACAGAUUGUGCAUCAAACAUUCACCAUUUCCCGCAUAUUUCCAUAGCGAGAGCUUGCACCUAUACCAGCCUUUUUCUUACCUGAAGGUGCAAAUGCUCCUGAGGCAGCGCUGCAUGAAGUUGUGGUACCAGGAACAGAUGAGAAAGAUGCCAACACUUGCAAUGUGGCAGAGGAGCCAUCCACGUCUGAUGCUUCAACUGCCGGAGGUCCUGCAUCGGCCAAAAAACAAGUUGCUGCUGAUAGAAAUGCCCGCAAGAAAGCACGUGUGGAAUGAGUCCACUACUAGCUCUUAGACAACCACAACUUCUUAUCAACUACUGCUUAUCUUUUAAUUUUCAUCAACUUCUUAUCGAUUACUGCUUUAGUAUUUUUACCUUUCGUUUAAUUCUAUUUUCCUUUUGUUUUAGAACUCCAUGUUGUGGUUGUCGAUUAAAUUAUUAAUGCAAAUUUUUUAUGAAGAAAAUUUCUCUA